Molecule: ribosomal RNA, 1066 nt
Filed under: Pratylenchus horti
Lineage: Eukaryota; Metazoa; Nematoda; Chromadorea; Rhabditida; Pratylenchidae
Description: partial large subunit ribosomal RNA
Rfam family: Eukaryotic large subunit ribosomal RNA
Source: RNAcentral
AAAAAAAAAGACUACAAGGAUUCCCGUAGUAACGGCGAGUGAACUGGGAAGAGUCCAGCGCUUAAUCGUUGUGCCACUGGCGCAAUGAGGUGUAGCGUAUAGGCUGCGAGUUUGUGUUGGUCGGUCCGUUCAAGUUUCCCUUGACUGGGGCUCCACAGAAGGUGCAAGACCUGUACAGCGGACGACGGAGCCAGCACAUCUUUGCGUGCCUUGGAGUCGGGUUGUUUGGGAUCGCAGCCCAAAGUGGGUGGUAAACUUCAUCUAAGACUGAAUAUGACUACGAGACCGAUAGCGAACAAGUACCGUGAGGGAAAGUUGAAAAGCACUUUGAAGAGAGAGUUAAAGAGGACGUGAAACCGAUGAGAUGGAAACGGACAGAGCUAGCGUAUCUAGCCUGCAUUCAGCUUGCGCGGUCGCUGCCGAUGAAUCGCUGAUCUCCAGAUUGGGACUGUUGACUAGUCGGUUUGGUGGCUGUGUAGUGCAUUUGCAGGUGGAGUGCGUCGAGGCAUCCGGGAUGGCUGCAUGAGCUCAGCUUUGAGGCCAGCUUGCUGGUACCCGGGCUGGGGGAUUGCUGUUCAUGCUGGGUGUUGCGUAGAUUGGCAAGGCUUUGCGGGCCCGGUUGGGUGCCGAGCUGGGUGCCGGUGGCGGUCGCAUGCGACACGUAUCGGCAAACUGUUCGGUCCUGGCUGCGGCUCACUCCAUGCCAAAUCUCGGCGUAAAAUCUGGUCAUCUUUCCGACCCGUCUUGAAACACGGACCAAGGAGUUUAUCGUGUGCGCGAGUCAUUGGGCGUUGAAAACCCAAAGGCGCAAUGAAAGUGAACGUAUCCGCUAGGAGCCAACGUGCGAUCCUGGUCACCGCGGUGGCCGGGCGCAGCAUGGCCCCAUCCCGACUGCUUGCAGUGGGGUGGAGGAAGAGCGUACGCGGUGAGACCCGAAAGAUGGUGAACUAUUCCUGAGCAGGAUGAAGCCAGAGGAAACUCUGGUGGAAGUCCGAAGCGAUUCUGACGUGCAAAUCGAUCGUCUGACUUGGGUAUAGGGGCGAAAGACUAAUCGAACAUCUAUACG